CGGUGGGCCAGUUGCCGCGACCAAUUUUGGCGUGAGGUAUCCAGUAAAGGCCGGAGUGGAGAGGGUACCUCCAGGAAGAGGCCCUACAUCUACACUGCCCAGUUGAGGUUUUUAAAACCGGUUAUGGACUUGAGGCUUACUGUGGACAGUCUGGAACCCUCGGACGAAUCGGAAUCGUCAGGAAGUGAAACUCCGGCAAUGUUUUCGCCGGAAACAAGUCCCGCACCGACGCCGACAGGGGAUCCAGAGGAAUCUUCACAGGCCCAGGCCCCACAACCACUCUCCAGUCCACCCCGGGUCAUACAGCCGCAGCCAAGACAGUCGCCGCCAAGUCCCUCCCUCCACCUCUGUGCCAGAGAGUCGUGAGGUUAUUGACGCACGCGUCAUUGAUUUUCUGGCCCAGAGGCGGAGUGAUGGAGUUGAGGAAAAGAUGCUCAGGGGAUUAGGGCCACUAAUGAAGAAGAUCCCAGAAAAUGAGCAAAAUGAAUGUGUUGCUUCCAUUGCGGUGGUGAUGAAAAUGUGUGCGCUGCCAAAUCAUGGGGACAUUCUAGCCAAAUUAAACGCAUGGAAGAAUGAACUUGAAAAUGCCGGCCAGCCUCCAAGACCUGGACACUUUCCCAUUCCAAGUCAACCAACCCAUGCGCCUUCUUUUGCCCCACACCCCCAGUACGGCCCACCCCAUGGCCAAAUACAAGGGGUGGCUCAGGCCAUUUACCUGGGCAGUUUGCAACCUGUCCCACCACAGAAGGCCUAGGGAAGGCCACGGUCCUCCUUUGCUGCGGGGUCAUUUACCCAGGACCUUCUAGAUCUUUGAUUUGUGUGUUAGCUUAUUGUUUUUAUGUUUUAAAAUUGUUUGGUGCUUAAUGGGCAAAGCAUUGUCCUAACUUACCGUUGGUUUGGCAAAAUAUUUUGCUUAAAAUACUUUCUUGCACCAAAAA
This is a long non-coding RNA of Bufo gargarizans (Asiatic toad), 938 nucleotides long. RefSeq lists it as uncharacterized. The transcript has 2 exons. The record is from RefSeq and is a predicted model, not a curated record. NCBI's taxonomy places the organism in Eukaryota, Metazoa, Chordata, Amphibia, Anura, Bufonidae.